GAUGAACGCUGGCGGCGUGCCUAAUACAUGCAAGUCGAGCGAACAGACGAGGAGCUUGCUCCUCUGACGUUAGCGGCGGACGGGUGAGUAACACGUGGAUAACCUACCUAUAAGACUGGGAUAACUUCGGUAAACCGGAGCUAAUACCGGAUAAUAUAUUGAACCGCAUGGUUCAAUAGUGAAAGACGGUUUUGCUGUCACUUAUAGAUGGAUCCGCGCCGCAUUAGCUAGUUGGUAAGGUAACGGCUUACCAAGGCGACGAUGCGUAGCCGACCUGAGAGGGUGAUCGGCCACACUGGAACUGAGACACGGUCCAGACUCCUACGGGAGGCAGCAGUAGGGAAUCUUCCGCAAUGGGCGAAAGCCUGACGGAGCAACGCCGCGUGAGUGAUGAAGGUCUUCGGAUCGUAAAACUCUGUUAUUAGGGAAGAACAAAUGUGUAAGUAACUAUGCACGUCUUGACGGUACCUAAUCAGAAAGCCACGGCUAACUACGUG
Molecule: ribosomal RNA, 497 nt
Filed under: uncultured bacterium
Lineage: Bacteria
Description: partial 16S ribosomal RNA
Rfam family: Bacterial small subunit ribosomal RNA
Source: RNAcentral